RNAcentral lists this long non-coding RNA (244 nucleotides) under Elaeis guineensis (African oil palm). RNAcentral describes it as "long non-coding RNA (EGUI_LNC026842)". Lineage: Eukaryota; Viridiplantae; Streptophyta; Magnoliopsida; Arecales; Arecaceae. The record is from RNAcentral.
UUUCCUAUGGAUUCAAAUUUUUAGUCCGGUUCUAAUUCUGAUCGUAAAUCAAAUGCUUCGGAGGAUUUAAUCAUUCCGAUUCUCAUUCCAAUUUAUUUCGAUUUUCAUUCCGAUUUCGAUUCCGAUAGUGAAACAAGCACUCCCUUACUCUCUUUGUAACAUAAUGAUUAACUCCUCUAUUAGAUAAUCUCAAAGAGUGGUUAUAACAUUAUGAUUAACUUCUUUAUAGGCAAUUCCGCCAAGU